This 454-nucleotide long non-coding RNA is filed under the name Physcomitrium patens. RNAcentral describes it as "long non-coding RNA (PPAT_LNC000553)". Lineage: Eukaryota; Viridiplantae; Streptophyta; Bryopsida; Funariales; Funariaceae. The record is from RNAcentral.
AAAGAUGUUUCUAAAGACCUUAUGCAUUGUUUUUUGGGUUGUAAAUCCAACUUCAAGAUAAAAUCAAAUCUUUCUACAAUCAAAUAUCUAAUAUAUUUAUAUGUUGAUUUUUACAUAACAUGAUAUCAUAUAUUUAGAAAGCCAAACUAGUCUAGACCUUUAAAUUUCUAAUAGUUAUCUUAUUUAUUGGUUGCAUAUCUUGAAUGAAUCUAGGUACCCCAAACUUCUUUGGCAUAGUAAACCAUGAAUUGAAGUAAGGUGCAACUAAUAGUUUGAAGAUGCCUAUCUUGAUUUUUUUUUUAAUAAAUCUAUUAAUUUAGAAAAAAAAAUUUAAGCAUUGAAAUAGGCUUCAAAUUCCAAAAUACAUGAAAAAUGGUAAAAAUAACUAUAAGUACUACUAUAUUAGGAUCUAUACAACCAAUUUCUUUGGAUGUAUAUGCAAUAGUCUUAUCAU